RNAcentral lists this RNase P RNA (301 nucleotides) under human gut metagenome. RNAcentral's name for it is "Bacterial RNase P class B". It matches the Rfam family "Bacterial RNase P class B". From Rfam's summary of the family: Ribonuclease P (RNase P) is a ubiquitous endoribonuclease, found in archaea, bacteria and eukarya as well as chloroplasts and mitochondria. Its best characterised activity is the generation of mature 5'-ends of tRNAs by cleaving the 5'-leader elements of precursor-tRNAs. The record is from RNAcentral.
AAAUGUUAGGAAAGUCCAUGCUAGCACAGCCUGCGAUGGCUGUAGUGUUUGUGCCAGUCCAAUAAAUAAGGCUGGGUACCUUUAUGGUAACGGCAACGUAUAACCUAAGUCCUUGAUAUGGUUAUAUAUAACGUGCCACAGUGACGAUACUACUAGAAAUGGUAGAGUGAAACGAGGUAAACCCCUCAAGCUAGAAACCCAAAUUUGGUAGGGGAAUUUCCAAGAGCGAAAUGAAGCUUAAGGAAGAUACGAAAGUAUAGAUAAAUGAUUACCACUAGAAAUAGAACAGAACAUGGCUUAU